RNAcentral lists this ribosomal RNA (406 nucleotides) under uncultured bacterium. RNAcentral's name for it is "partial 16S ribosomal RNA". It matches the Rfam family "Bacterial small subunit ribosomal RNA", at positions 30 to 526 of the family's 1533-position model. The record is from RNAcentral.
AUUGAACGCUGGCGGCAUGCCUAACACAUGCAAGUCGAACGAGUGGCGGACGGGUGAGUAAUGUCUGGGAAACUGCCCGAAGGAGGGGGAUAACUACUGGAAACGGUAGCUAAUACCCCAUACCAUCGCAUGUGCCCAGAUGGGAUUAGCUCGUAGGUGGGGUAAAGUCUCACCUAGGCGACGAUCCCCAGCUGGUCUGAGAGGAUGACCAGCCACACUGGAACUGAGACACGGCCCAGACUCCUACGGGAGGCAGCAGGGGGGAAUAUUGGACAAGGGGCGCAAGCCUGAUGCAGCCAUGCCGCGUGUAUGAAGAAGGCCUUCGGGUUGUAAAGUACUUUCAGCGAGGAGGCGGUACUCGCAGAAGAAGCACCGGCUAACUCCGUGCCAGCAGCCGCGGUAAUAC